UACAGAGGUCUCAAGCGUUGUUCGGAUUCAUUGGGCGUAAAGGGCGCGUAGGCGGCGCGGUAUGUCACCUGUGAAAUCUCCUGGCUCAACUGGGAGCUUGCAGGCGAAACUGCCGUGCUGGAGUGUGGGAGAGGUGCGUGGAAUUCCUGGUGUAGCGGUGAAAUGCGUAGAUAUCAGGAGGAACACCUGUGGCGAAAGCGGCGCACUGGACCACAACUGACGCUGAGGCGCGAAAGCUAGGGGAGCAAACAGG
This 253-nucleotide ribosomal RNA is filed under the name uncultured bacterium. RNAcentral describes it as "partial 16S ribosomal RNA". It matches the Rfam family "Bacterial small subunit ribosomal RNA", at positions 524 to 776 of the family's 1533-position model. The record is from RNAcentral.